GAUGAACGCUGGCGGCGUGCCUAAUACAUGCAAGUCGAGCGAACAGAUAAGGAGCUUGCUCCUUUGAAGUUAGCGGCGGACGGGUGAGUAACACGUGGGUAACCUACCUAUAAGACUGGGAUAACUUCGGGAAACCGGAGCUAAUACCGGAUAACAUUUAGAACCGCAUGGUUCUAAAGUGAAAGAUGGUUUUGCUAUCACUUAUAGAUGGACCCGCGCCGUAUUAGCUAGUUGGUAAGGUAACGGCUUACCAAGGCGACGAUACGUAGCCGACCUGAGAGGGUGAUCGGCCACACUGGAACUGAGACACGGUCCAUACUCCUACGGGAGGCAGCAGUAGGGAAUCUUCCGCAAUGGGCGAAAGCCUGACGGAUCAACGCCGCGUGAGUGAUGAAGGGUUUCGGCUCGUAAAACUCUGUUAUUAGGGAAGAACAAAUGUGUAAGUAACUGUGCACAUCUUGACGGUACCUAAUCAGAAAGCCACGGCUAACUACGUGCCAGCAGCCGCGGUAGUACGUAGGUGGCAAGCGUUAUCCGGAAUUAUUGGGCGUAAAGCGCGCGUAUGCGGUUUCUUAGUCUGAUGUGAAAGCCCACGGCUCAUCCGUGGAGGGUCAUUGGAAACUGGGAAACUUGAGUGCAGAAGAGGAAAGUGGAAUUCCAUGUGUAGCGGUGAAAUGCGCAGAGAUAUGGAGGAACACCAGUGGCGAAGGCGACUUUCUGGUCUGUAACUGACGCUGAUGUGCGAAAGCGUGGGGAUCAAACAGGAUUAGAUACCCUGGUAGUCCACGCCGUAAACGAUGAGUGCUAGGUGUUAGGGGGUUUCCGCCCCUUAGUGCUGCAGCUAACGCAUUAAGCACUCCGCCUGGGGAGUACGACCGCAAGGUUGAAACUCAAAGGAAUUGACGGGGACCCGCACAAGCGGUGGAGCAUGUGGUUUAAUUCGAAGCAACGCGAAGAACCUUACCAAAUCUUGACAUCCUUUGAAAACUCUAGAGAUAGAGCCUUCCCCUUCGGGGGACAAAGUGACAGGUGGUGCAUGGUUGUCGUCAGCUCGUGUCGUGAGAUGUUGGGUUAAGUCCCGCAACGAGCGCAACCCUUAAGCUUAGUUGCCAUCAUUAAGUUGGGCACUCUAGGUUGACUGCCGGUGACAAACCGGAGGAAGGUGGGGAUGACGUCAAAUCAUCAUGCCCCUUAUGAUUUGGGCUACACACGUGCUACAAUGGACAAUACAAAGGGCAGCUAAACCGCGAGGUCAUGCAAAUCCCAUAAAGUUGUUCUCAGUUCGGAUUGUAGUCUGCAACUCGACUACAUGAAGCUGGAAUCGCUAGUAAUCGUAGAUCAGCAUGCUACGGUGAAUACGUUCCCGGGUCU
RNAcentral lists this ribosomal RNA (1371 nucleotides) under uncultured bacterium. RNAcentral's name for it is "bacterial SSU rRNA". It matches the Rfam family "Bacterial small subunit ribosomal RNA", at positions 28 to 1381 of the family's 1533-position model. The record is from RNAcentral.